AUUUGUAUAGUUUAAUUAAAACAAUAUAUUUUCAAUAUAUAAAUAAUAAAGUUAUUUGCAAAUG
This 64-nucleotide transfer RNA is filed under the name Dianemobius fascipes. Its description in RNAcentral is "tRNA-Glu". Lineage: Eukaryota; Metazoa; Arthropoda; Insecta; Orthoptera; Trigonidiidae. The record is from RNAcentral. RNAcentral also lists the same sequence under 1 other name.